CUAGUAAUGGCAGGUCAGCAUACUGCCGUGAAUACGUUCCCGGGCCUUGUACACACCGCCCGUCACACCAUGAGAGUUGGGAAUACCCGAAGCCUGUGAGCCAACUUUUAAAGAGGCAACAGUCGAAGGUAGAAUCAAUGAUUGGGGUGAAGUCGUAACAAGGUAGC
RNAcentral lists this ribosomal RNA (167 nucleotides) under uncultured bacterium. Its description in RNAcentral is "partial 16S ribosomal RNA". It matches the Rfam family "Bacterial small subunit ribosomal RNA", at positions 1335 to 1500 of the family's 1533-position model. The record is from RNAcentral.